AGAAUGAAAUAUCUGCAUUGUUUUUUGAUCAUUGAAGAGAGGCACAAUAUAUAUACAAUGACUUUCAUGCUUAGCAUCUAACCAACUUAGCUAACAACUCUACAAAUAAUUGUAAUUGAAUAUGUAACUAACUCUGUGGUGCAUAACAUUAGUACAUCUACAACUAACAUGAUCAAGGCACAUUUAAACACUUAUUUAAUUCCUUUACACCCUUUUUGCCAGUUGGGAGCUAUGAAGAUGUUCUUCAUUCCCAUCUUGAACAUAAGGUGUGACUAUGAGGACCCUUCCCAACUGCCUUGUUAGAGACAUCAACAUGCUGUUCUGCAGAGGAUAAGUGGUUUGUGACAAGCAAAUCAUCUUGUAUCUUCUCUUUUAUAAAAUGACAAUUAAUGUUUAUAUGCUUUGUCCUCUCAUGAAAAAUAGGAUUGGCAGCAAUUUGGAGGGCUGAAGUAUUGUCUGAGUAUAGAGGUACUGGAAGUGAAAUAAUGACACCAAGUUCCUGAAAUAAACCAAGAAGCCAUACCACUUCAGCAAUUGUUGAAGCCAUGGAUCUAUACUCAGCCUCUGCUGAACUCCUAGACACUACGAGUUGUUUCUUACACUUCCAAGAGAAAGGUAAGUUUUCAUAUUGAACCAAGUACCCAGUAAUGGACCUCCUACUAUUGAUGCAUGAACUUCAGUCUACAUCACAGAAUACCUUUAGACAUUAGAAUUUCUAAACCUGGUGCUGACUUAGGUAUCUCACUAGUCUAAGUACAUCAUCCAUAUAUGAAGAUUUUGGAGAAUGCAUGAACUGACUCAAGCAUUAUACUGAAAAUGAUAUGUCUAGUCUAGUAGUGGUGAGAUACAACAACCUCCCAAUUAACCUCUGGUAGCUAGUAGGAUCCUGCAAUAGUGGAUCAACAUAUGCAAGUGGUAUGUUGGUAACAAACUCAACUGAUGUAAGCUUCUGAUUUAGUUCCAUUGGAGUUAAGACUGGUUUGGCUCCUGCUAACCCCUUGUUUGCUAUAACCUUCAAAGUGUACUUUCUCUGAUGCAUAAGCAUGCCAGCCUCAUUUCUAGCAAAUUCCAAACCAAGAAAAUAUCUAAUUUCACCUAGGUCUUUGAUUUUAAAAGGCAUAAUACAAUAAAUAUAUCAUUUAACUUAACCUCAUUUUACAUUUAUUCCCUCCAACUUCGAGUGUGCAUAAAUAGGCACUUAAACUUGUAUAACAUUGAACAAAUAGAAACACGAGCCCUAUGUGUCACAAUACACGUAGGACACCACACAGGACACAAAUUUCCAUGUAGGACGUUUGUGUCUAUUUGUUCAAUUUUAUACAAGUUUAAGUAUCUACUUGUGCACACCCAAAGUUGGAGGGCAUAAAUGUGAAAUGAGGCCAAGUUAAAUGGCAUAUUUAUGUAUUAUGCCAUUUUAAAAACAUGCUACAAUGCCUCUUUAGUCUCUUGAAUCAUAGUAGCACCGUUCCCUGUUAAUGGGAAAUCAUAUACAUAAAAAAAAAAAGUCAUCCAUAUAUAUGAGUACUAUCAUCAGUUUGCCAUCUUUCUUCUUAGUGAACAAAGAAUAAUCUUUGAAACUAUGAGUAAAACGUGAUAUUUUCAAGGUGGUAGUAAGUUUGAUGUUUUACUAUCUUGAGGCCUAUUUUAAACCAUACAAAGAAUUUUGACAAUAUACAUGAUUUAUUACUUCCAGCUUUCCUAUCAAAACAAUCUGGGAGAGUCAUAUAUACUUCUUCAUACAAGUCACCUUGUAAGGAAGAAUUAUAGACAUUCAUUUGAUGAAUAGUCCAAUGCCUAGCAGCUGCAAUAGAGAUAACAGAACUCACUACGGUCAUUUUAACCACAAGGCAGAAGGUGUUUUGAUAAUCAAAACCCUUCUUCUGAUUGAAACCUUUAGCUACCAACCUUUCCAAAUCACCAUUUGCAUGAUAUUUGAUCUUGUAAACCCAUCUACAGCCUAUAAAUUUCUUGCCUUUGGAAAAAUCCACCAAUUCACAUGUCUUGUUAUCCUCUAAUGCCUUAAUUUCAUUCUGCAUUGCCUCUACCCAUCUAGCACCUUGGAAGCUUAUGUAUAUGUACCAGGUUCUAUCUCAAACUGAGAAUUUUGAAACAAAACCUUGAUAUUUUUGGGAGAGUCCCGUAUAAUCUAGAACUGACGCUAUUGAGUAAAUACAACUACUUGGACUAGCCUUUGUGACAUAGUCCUUGUGCCAAAUGGGAGGUCUAGAUCCUCUAGUAGACCUUCUCACUGGUGGUGAAUGAGUGGCAGCGGGAGGAACUAACACUACCUCAGGAGGUAUAGGAAUUGUAAUAGGUGAAGUAAUUGGAGAUGUUGUGACUGAAACUUGAGCAGGAACUGAAACAGGAUCUAGAGUACCUAAAGUAGGAACCACUGGGAUAUUAUCAAGAUCAUCAAAAACAAAUAGAUUUUUUUGAGUGGAGACUUGAGUCUGUUGAGUUAUAUUGCUUCCAAAAGGAAAAGUUAACUCCAAAAACAACACAUCUCUACUGACAAAAAAGGUUCUAUUCUCCAAAUCAUAUAGCUGGUAUCCCUUUUGAGUUGAUCCAUAUCCAACUUAAACAACCCUCACUGCCCUUGGUCUGAAUUUAUCUUGUUUGAUGAGGUUGGCGGCAAAGCAUAAACAACAUAUGACUCUGAUGUGAUCAAGGGAAGGAGAUUUUUCAUAUAAUUUCUCAAAGGGUGAUACAUCACCCAAAAUAGUGGAAGGAAUUCUAUUUAAUACAUACACAUCUACCUGAAUACAUAACCCCCAAAACUUAUUUGAAAAACUAGCCUGGAACUUAAUAGCUUUGGGUCUCAAGUAUGUAUAUAUGUGCCUUCUUUCCACUACACCAUUCUGUUGAGGUGUAUAUGGACAAGAACUCUCAUGUAUGACACCAUCAAGUUUAAAAAAUUCAUUAUAGUUGGCAUUAAAAAACUCAGAUCUGUUAUCAAACCUCACCCUUUGAAUCUUUUUACCAAACUGGGUCUCUAUUUCAGCAAAGAAAUAUUUUAAUAAGCUAGUAACAUCAGAUUUAAGUCUCAUAGAAAAAGUCCAUGUCCAUCUAGAAUAGUCAUCAAUAAUUGUCAAAAAUUAUCUCAUGCCAGCAACCUUAUGAGGACCUCAAACAUUCAUGUGAAUCAGUUGAAAACUACAAGUAAACUUAAUAGUACUACGUAUAAAAGGUACUCUGGUCUGUUUGACCAGAGGACAAACUUCACAACUAUGUAAAGUAAACGUAUUACCAAAACUAUGAAAAGCAUUAUUUUUUCUUAUUACACUCAUAGGGACAUGGCAUAGUCUUUGAUGCCAGACAGUAACAUCAAAACUUGGUGUUGCUGCCAAACAUCUCUAUGGUGUUGCUUGCACAUCACCUAUCUGAGAACACAAUGUGUAUAGACCAUCAUUUUCUUCACUAGUCACUCUCACCUUCCCAGAUUAGGUAUUGAAAAGCAUAACAUUUAGAAUCACUUAUGAAACAGGCAUAAGAUUGAACUUGAAUGUUGGUACACAUAACACUUUCCUAAGAACAUCACCUCCUCAUAUAUGAAAAUCUUCAAUAUGUGAGACAUGAGCAGAAUCUCCGAUAGGCAGUUGAACAUUUUCUAUCAAAUAUUUUUAUUGUAAAUGUUUUGGAUUAUCUAUCAUAUAAUGAGAAGCAUCUGUAUCUACUAUUUAAUAAUUCAUCAAGGGAUCCAUAAGUCAAAGAGAAGUACAUGCAAUAUUAUUUAUACCAUUGGUGUCACUAAUGGAGGUUUGAUCUAACAUUUUAAGCAGUUGCUGGUGUUGACCUGGAGUGUACAUGGGCAUAUACAUGUUCCUUGAGUGAUUAGAAUGUGGUGAGGAUAUGUGACGAUGGUAAUACUGAGGAUGAGCAGAAUAAGGCUAAGGGAUCUGGUUAGGAGCAGUUUGUUGUGCUUUCAUAGGUCCUGCAUCAUAGAUAGAGUUCCCAACUACUACAUCAUCUUUCUUACAUUUGAAAGGUGGAUAGCCAAUCAGUCGAAAACAAUCAACCUUGAGGUAUCCAGUUUUGUGACAAAAAUCACACUUCAUCAAUUUAUGACAAUCAGCUCUCAUAUGUCCUUCCAUGUGGCAAAAAUCACAAAAGCCAUUAGGAGCAUAAUUAUCAGAUCUAGAAGUGAACAUAGAAAUAUGAGUCAUGUUCUCAGGCAUCAACCUACUUGAUCCUGCAACCAAUUUCUGACUAUAACUGUCAUUAAGUCCCUUAAGAAAUUGUAACAUCCUCUAAUAUUGUAAAUGCUUAAAAAAAUCUCUAGACUAGCAAUUAAAAGAAGGAGGAGGCAUAAUGGAAUCAUACUCAUCCCAAAGGUCUUUAAGCCUAGAAUAGUAGAUUUAAACAAAAGAAACAAACUUUCUAAACAAGUGUAAAAAUCUCCUUGUGAAGCUGAAAAAUUCCGGAACAGUUAACCUUAUUAGACCUUUCCUUCAAGUCCUCCCAAAUCAAUUGUGUGUGAGCAAAAAAGGGUCUCCAUUAUGUAAAUCUUUACUUACAUUGCAUAGAAUUCAGUAAACUGUGCUUGCAUUGCAUCUAUCCCAAAGGUGAGCUAAGCCUCUUGAAAUCUGAUCUCAUUUUACUAUUCCAUCAAUGAAGUCAACCUUGUUCUUUCCAAGCAAAGCCAGUUGUAUAGCUUUGCUCCACAAAGUGUAAUUGUCAGUUCCACUCAGCAUAAUGCCAACAUUAAGUGAUCAUGGUGCAUCUAACGGGUAUAAAUAGAGUGGAUGAAGAUGAUCAAUGGUGAAAGUUGUCAUAGAAGGUCCUAAUUGAGCUCCUGUAGAGAAGAAGAAAGAGAAAAAAAAAAGGAAAAAAAGUACGAAUCAACUGAAAAUUAAGAAGGAUCUACACAGCUGGUAGAAGAUCUGUUUGUUCCAAGCUUGAUGGCUUUGAUACCAUAUUAAUUUUGUGAAUUUUGGGAAUAAAAUCCUAACAAGACAAGAACAAACAAAGAACAAUUGAAAGAGUAUGAAGAGGAUCUAAAAAAAAUAUUUGCAUUGUUUUUUAUCAUUGAACAGAGGCACAAUAUAUAUAUAUACAAUGACUUUCUUGCUUAGCAUCUAACCAACUUAACUAACAACUCUACAACUAACUGUAAUUGACUAUGUAACCUCUACAACUUGCACAACUAACAGUGUAGUGCAUAACAUUAGUACAACUAUAACUAAUAUGAUCAAGACAUAAUUACACACUUAUUUAAUUCCUUUACAACACUCCACAUUAAUUAUGUCCUAUCCAGCUUUCAACAUACCUCAUCUUCACCCCACUCCACAUACUCUACCCUCCACCACCACCACUCAUAGUAUUUGUGUAGAUUAUUAACAAAUAUUUUUAGGAUAAUAUUUUAUUUGCAUAGCAAAUACACAAAAAUAAAUAAAAAAACUCAUUUAUUUUUCUAGAAAAUAUUUUCUAUCAUACCGAACACAUCUUGAAUUAUUACUCUAUUAAAUGUCCUUUCUCACUUGGGUAUAUUUUUGUUUUAAUUUUUAAUAUAAAUGUAAAAUUUCGCUCUAUGAACUAGACACUUUCUAUUUGUUUUGUUAAGUUUAAUGUAUGAAAUUUAGUGGUCCGAUAAAUUAAUAUUUGUGUCGACUUGAUAUAUCAAAAUGAUUUAUGCAAAUAUUCCUUUUUGAAGCAACUACAUAAUUUUUUUUCUGACUACUUUUUAGAUUUUGUCUUGUGCACUACACUGGAUGAAUAGGGAUGACAAUGGAACAGAAAAAAGACGGUUGCGAGCGAACCUGCAAAGAUUUCAACCCACUCCAUCUGCAUAGACCAAC
RNAcentral lists this long non-coding RNA (5795 nucleotides) under Solanum tuberosum (potato). Its description in RNAcentral is "long non-coding RNA (STUB_LNC005629)". Lineage: Eukaryota; Viridiplantae; Streptophyta; Magnoliopsida; Solanales; Solanaceae. The record is from RNAcentral.